GCCCGGGUGGCUCAGUCAGUUGAGCGUCUGACUUCGGCUUAGGUCAUGAUCUGGCAGUCUGUGGGUUCGAGCCCCGUGUUGGGCU
Felis catus (domestic cat) is the source of this 85-nucleotide transfer RNA. It matches the Rfam family "tRNA". From Rfam's summary of the family: Transfer RNA (tRNA) molecules are approximately 80 nucleotides in length. Their secondary structure includes four short double-helical elements and three loops (D, anti-codon, and T loops). The record is from Rfam. NCBI's taxonomy places the organism in Eukaryota, Metazoa, Chordata, Mammalia, Carnivora, Felidae.